CUCCCUCGAGGGCUGAAUAAUAACGCAAAUGGUCCUGCAUUUAAACAUCGGUUUAAAGAGCUCAUGAGGGUCACCCCUCCUAUGUGGCCAAUCCUUGCUCUAGCCUUGGUAGAAUUCGGGAUCAGGGCUCUGAUUAGGAGGAGCGGUUAGCCCUCGGGAUGCGGUACAGGGAGACAUUGAAGCUGGCUUCUUCCUCCGCGUCUCAGUGUUAGCAGCUACGACAGAGGCCAGCCCUACGCCACCGAGUGGUCAGACGACGAGAGUGGGAACCCCUUUGGGGGCAGUGAGACCAACGGGGGCGCCAACCCCUUUGAGGACGACUCCAAGGGAGUGCGCGUGCGGGCACUCUACGACUAUGACGGCCAGGAGCAGGACGAGCUCAGCUUUAAGGCCGGAGACGAACUCACCAAGCUGGGCGAGGAGGAUGAGCAGGGCUGGUGCCGUGGGCGGCUGGACAGCGGGCAGCUGGGCCUUUACCCUGCCAACUACGUGGAGGCUAUCUAGAGGCCCCCUCCCUCCAUACUCCCCUCACUCCUCCCCACUGCCUCCCCUCCCCUCCCACUCUCGUCUCCUUCCCCUCGCCAUAGAGUUCCAGACAUAUUUUCCGAUCAAGGUUUUAUUUUUUUAAAAGUCAAAACAGAACAAAACAAAGUAUGCAGAGACAGAGCAUUUGCAGGGCCACCUGGAGGCUGGGGUGCUGGGGCUUGGGGUGGCCCCAGGGUAGGUAACAGUCUUAGGACUUAGCCCAACAUCACAACAUCUGCUCUUCGGGUUCCACCAAAGAGUCUCCUGAGCCCUGAGGGAUGGAUGUCUCCUGACCCUUCCACCCUGCCUCACUCCCUCCGUCCCACUCCACUCCAGGCUGCCGGCACCUGCCCCAUUCCCUGGCCUGGUUUCCUAACCUCUUCUUCCUCCCCUGCCCUGCUUCCCUUCCUCCACCACCCUGCUCUCAAAGGCCUCCUCUCCAGACCCCUGGAAGGGAGGCUUCCCCAUCUUUAGUCUUCCACUCUGCCCCGGGGAGCACCCUUCUACUCCUAGCCACGUCCCUUGGGACCGGUGGGACUGGAGGAGGAACGGUCACCCUCCUCCCCCAUGGAGGUUUCCAGGGGUCCCCCAGACAUGAAAGAGGGGUCAGCUGGAGGAAGUCAUGGUGUCACUGGGGUACAGGAGGGUGAAUGAAGUGCAUGCAGGCCCUCAGCCCGGGCUGUGCCAGCCCUCCCAGCCCCAGGCCCAUCUGAGGGACCAAGACCCUGUUACGCAGGCCCUUCUUUCCAGCUAUCAGCACUUUGAGCAUCGGUUCUUCAGCAGAUCCAAACCCCCUCAGCAACUUGCAGAGGACCUGUCCCCUCUCAAAAGUCCCCUGGCCUAGGGUGGGGACCCCCAAACCUACGGCAAAGCCAGCAACAGUAGCAGCCUCCUCCCAUUUGCUGGGGAGGAGGUCAUCUUGUUCCCCUGGCCCCCCACUCUCCCUCCAUGUCCAUCCAAAAACCAUAAAAUCACUGGGUUCCACAUCAGCCUCCAUGAAGCCAAGCCUUGUACCUGCAAGGCUCUUGGCCUAACCAUUCCUCUGUCCUCUUCUCUGGCCUGCCUGGGGAGCCCGUGAAGGCCGCGUGGGUGCCUCUAGCCUGAGACAUCAGGGGAGAGCCUGCAGCUGAGUUCGGCAGAAAGGAGGAACCCUGGCCCUCAGGAAGAAGAUAGUCACAUGUUUUUCUUCCUUGUCCCCACAGCCCCCAGAACAACAUUCUCCCUGCUGGCAGCCCUUCCGUGUCUCCAAACCUGGGUCAGAGUGAAAGGACCUUUGGGGGUGGGUGGGAGCAAAGGGCCCACCUGCUGGUUGGUGAAUGCAGUGGUGCCGGAGUGCUAGGUACCGCACGAGAGGGUGUGGGGGCUUGGGAAGCAGACCAGGGUUGGACAAAACCCCAUGAGGGCGGGGAGCUGGAAGAAAAGUCUCUUGGGGACCUCUGGGGCAAGGAGCUGAGAAGUCCUGCAGCACCAGGUGAGACUUGCUUACAGUGGAUGCCACUUCUAGGCCUCUGGACCGCAGAUGCCCUCCUCCCUCCUGCACACCUGGCCUCCUGGGCCUCCAGGUAAAGAGAGAGAGCCAGCCCAGCCCUGUUUCCCCUCAGUCCUCCUUUGCUCCUGCUGCUUCUCCCAACAGCCCACUGUUAGGAGGUAGUAGACCCCAGCCUCAAGGCUCUGACCUUCUUCAUGUGGGCACAGAGGGUCCUGACACUCUGGCAGGGCCUGAGCUGGGGCAGGCCUCCCUCAGGGCCAGGGGCGAUGGCACCCCAGGGACAGGCAGACCUCCUUCCUGCCGUCAGCACCCCCUUCCUUAUCACUGUCUGGUCUCUGAGCUUCAGCUGAAGCCUGAGGUGUGUCCUGGGCUCCUCAGAGCCUGAAGCAAGCUUUUGGAAGCCUGCAGUCCUCCCAGCUCCAGUGCAGAAGCCUCUCUCUCCAGCCUUUCCCCAGGCAGGAGUUGGGGUUGGGGGCCUCUGUCCCUCAUCGCUUACCUUGGAAAGGUGGGAAGCUGACAAUCUGCACCUUGGGGCCUGGGCUCCCCCUCUCUGUGCCAGCGGCUUCCCAGCACCUGGGGAGGGGCUGCAGCCCCAGCUGGACUCCAGCCUGUCCCUCUUAGCACUCUAGCUGCCCACUCCAGGGCAGGGACUCGAAACCCCCUCCGUCCUGAGCAGCCACCUCCAGGGCCCUGUUUGGGACCACUCUCUCAGUCCCCAGGUCCUCAGGGCCCCAGAGCGGGAGGGUCUCCUACCUGGAAGUCCCCCUGAGCUCCAGGGCCCAGCCCUACCUGCCAGUGCUGGUGUCAGGGCACUCAACACCGAGUGUGGGGGCCACACCCCUUGCCAUGCCCAUGGCCUCCUCCUGUAGCCCCUGCCCGCACCCUCGAUGCUGCACGGGCCCGCCCUGGUGGGGCUCGGCGAGUAAUGUGUUUUGUCCCCAGUUAACCACCAUUCUGCGGCCUGGUUCUGCAAGGAACCAGGGCUGCCCCACCGCCCGCCGUCUGCCGCCCUAGGCUUCCUGACUCCAUUAGUUCCGACACUUGUGAAACUCCGAGAAGUGCUGUGGUCUCAGCAAUGCACCUGUUUUGUACAUGAUUGUGUAAUUUAAAAGUAUAUAAAUACAAAUAUAUAUAUAUAUCAGUUGUGAUUGUAUGACUGUGGAUAAAAUCCAGAACUGUGUCAACCUGGCUGCCCAUUGUCAUCUUGAGUCUGUGCACCUUCUUCAGUCCUGGGGGUUUCUGAGCCCUCUGAGAGCUAUUUGUGGUUGGGAUGCAGGGGGGUAGGGGUGGUGCCCGAGCAGGACUGGGUGCUGUCCUGGCCCACCAUCCACAGACUAGGCCACUGAGAGCCGGUCCCUUCACCCUGCAGGGGCCUGGGUCUUGUCUGGACUGGGGAGGGUGAUACUGGAGGCUCCUGGAGCUCUGGCCCAUUCAGGUUCCGGGCGCCUGGUGACAGGCCCUGACCAGGAGAGCUGGGGCAUUCAGGGUUCCACAUUCAUGGAUCAAGAGUGAAUGAGGCCCUCAAAUAGGUUUUGUUUUUUAAAGCAGAAUUCUAAAAGUGACUGCUGAGGCCCAUGGUUCCUGGCUGCCCGCAGUGCCAAGCUCCCUGUGUGGUGACGUUGGGCCAUGCCACGCCUUCCUGCGUCUCGCCUGGCUCUGAAUGCAUUUCUGUGUGGGACCCGUGGGAGGGCUCCUUAGGGAGAAUUUCUCAGGGGCAUGGGCAGGACCAGAGCUCUGGGUUCUUGGCUGUUCUGCCAGCCCCUAGCCCAGUCCUUGCUCUAGCUCCCUGACUCCCCCUGCAUCCAGCUCCAGGGGAUCUCUUCCAGGGUAGCACAGAAGUCCCAGGGCCAGUCCCAGUUCCACCAUCAGCUCACUGUGUUCCCACCCUCACCUGGGCCUCAGCUUCCCCAGUCUGGUGAGAUGUCUCUCUGAGGGUCCUCUGGCCCUGGCAGCCUGGCAGGGCCGUCAUACAAGCCCAUUACUCGGGGCAAAUAUACCCCUGUCCCUUCCCUGACACCCCUUGCCCCCAACCUCAGGGUGUGCCAGGCAGGGAGAAAGGUUGAGAUGGAGAUUGAAUCUAUUUGCCACCCCAUCUUCCUUACUCCUCCUAAAUCUAUUUGCCACCCCAUCUUCCUUACUCCUCCAAACUUACCUCUAUGUGAAGCCCUGCUUUU
Molecule: long non-coding RNA, 4188 nt
Filed under: Pan troglodytes (chimpanzee)
Lineage: Eukaryota; Metazoa; Chordata; Mammalia; Primates; Hominidae
Description: long non-coding RNA NONPTRT014607
Source: RNAcentral